This 858-nucleotide ribosomal RNA is filed under the name uncultured bacterium. RNAcentral describes it as "bacterial SSU rRNA". It matches the Rfam family "Bacterial small subunit ribosomal RNA", at positions 28 to 896 of the family's 1533-position model. The record is from RNAcentral.
GACGAACGCUGGCGGCGUGCUUAACACAUGCAAGUCGAGCGGUAAGGCCUCUUUGGGGGUACACGAGCGGCGAACGGGUGAGUAACACGUGGGUGACCUGCCCCCUACUCUGGGAUAAGCCUGGGAAACUGGGUCUAAUACCGGAUAUGACCUCGUGCUUCAUGGUGUGGGGUGGAAAGCUUUUGUGGUGGGGGAUGGGCCCGCGGCCUAUCAGCUUGUUGGUGGGGUGAUGGCCUACCAAGGCUUCGACGGGUAGCCGGCCUGAGAGGGCGUCCGGCCACACUGGGACUGAGACACGGCCCAGACUCCUACGGGAGGCAGCAGUGGGGAAUAUUGCGCAAUGGGCGGAAGCCUGACGCAGCGACGCCGCGUGGGGGAUGACGGCCUUCGGGUUGUAAACCUCUUUCGACUUCGACGAAGCCUUCGGGUGACGGUAGGGGUGGAAGAAGCACCGGCCAACUACGUGCCAGCAGCCGCGGUAAUACGUAGGGUGCGAGCGUUGUCCGGAAUUAUUGGGCGUAAAGAGCUCGUAGGCGGUGUGUCACGUCGGCCGUGAAAACCUGCAGCUUAACUGUGGGCGUGCGGUCGAUACGGGCAUCACUGGAGUUCGGCAGGGGAGACUGGAAUUCCUGGUGUAGCGGUGAAAUGCGCAGAUAUCAGGAGGAGCACCGGUGGCGAAGGCGGGUCUCUGGGCCGAUACUGACGCUGAGGAGCGAAAGCGUGGGGAGCGAACAGGAUUAGAUACCCUGGUAGUCCACGCCGUAAACGGUGGGCACUAGGUGUGGGGGCCAUUCCACGGUCUCUGUGCCGCAGCUAACGCAUUAAGUGCCCCGCCUGGGGAGUACGGCCGCAAGGCUA